Molecule: ribosomal RNA, 1372 nt
Filed under: uncultured bacterium
Lineage: Bacteria
Description: bacterial SSU rRNA
Rfam family: Bacterial small subunit ribosomal RNA
Source: RNAcentral
GAUGAACGCUGGCGGCGUGCCUAAUACAUGCAAGUCGAGCGAACGGACGAGAAGCUUGCUUCUCUGAUGUUAGCGGCGGACGGGUGAGUAACACGUGGAUAACCUACCUAUAAGACUGGGAUAACUUCGGGAAACCGGAGCUAAUACCGGAUAAUAUUUUGAACCGCAUGGUUCAAAAGUGAAAGACGGUCUUGCUGUCACUUAUAGAUGGAUCCGCGCUGCAUUAGCUAGUUGGUAAGGUAACGGCUUACCAAGGCAACGAUGCAUAGCCGACCUGAGAGGGUGAUCGGCCACACUGGAACUGAGACACGGUCCAGACUCCUACGGGAGGCAGCAGUAGGGAAUCUUCCGCAAUGGGCGAAAGCCUGACGGAGCAACGCCGCGUGAGUGAUGAAGGUCUUCGGAUCGUAAAACUCUGUUAUUAGGGAAGAACAUAUGUGUAAGUAACUGUGCACAUCUUGACGGUACCUAAUCAGAAAGCCACGGCUAACUACGUGCCAGCAGCCGCGGUAAUACGUAGGUGGCAAGCGUUAUCCGGAAUUAUUGGGCGUAAAGCGCGCGUAGGCGGUUUUUUAAGUCUGAUGUGAAAGCCCACGGCUCAACCGUGGAGGGUCAUUGGAAACUGGAAAACUUGAGUGCAGAAGAGGAAAGUGGAAUUCCAUGUGUAGCGGUGAAAUGCGCAGAGAUAUGGAGGAACACCAGUGGCGAAGGCGACUUUCUGGUCUGUAACUGACGCUGAUGUGCGAAAGCGUGGGGAUCAAACAGGAUUAGAUACCCUGGUAGUCCACGCCGUAAACGAUGAGUGCUAAGUGUUAGGGGGUUUCCGCCCCUUAGUGCUGCAGCUAACGCAUUAAGCACUCCGCCUGGGGAGUACGACCGCAAGGUUGAAACUCAAAGGAAUUGACGGGGACCCGCACAAGCGGUGGAGCAUGUGGUUUAAUUCGAAGCAACGCGAAGAACCUUACCAAAUCUUGACAUCCUUUGACAACUCUAGAGAUAGAGCCUUCCCCUUCGGGGGACAAAGUGACAGGUGGUGCAUGGUUGUCGUCAGCUCGUGUCGUGAGAUGUUGGGUUAAGUCCCGCAACGAGCGCAACCCUUAAGCUUAGUUGCCAUCAUUAAGUUGGGCACUCUAAGUUGACUGCCGGUGACAAACCGGAGGAAGGUGGGGAUGACGUCAAAUCAUCAUGCCCCUUAUGAUUUGGGCUACACACGUGCUACAAUGGACAAUACAAAGGGCAGCGAAACCGCGAGGUCAAGCAAAUCCCAUAAAGUUGUUCUCAGUUCGGAUUGUAGUCUGCAACUCGACUACAUGAAGCUGGAAUCGCUAGUAAUCGUAGACCAGCAUGCUACGGUGAAUACGUUCCCGGGUCU